Long non-coding RNA from Herpailurus yagouaroundi (jaguarundi), 312 nucleotides. RefSeq lists it as uncharacterized. The record is from RefSeq and is a predicted model, not a curated record. NCBI's taxonomy places the organism in Eukaryota, Metazoa, Chordata, Mammalia, Carnivora, Felidae. The transcript is spliced from 3 exons.
CGAAGCUGUUCCCGUCGAAAGCCAGAGAGAGCCCGGUGGCGGCGGUCAGCACCACGUCGGCGCCACUCAGGGUGACGCUGCGAGUGUAGCUGACGGCCUGGCUGCCCCGGUGCUCAUUGACUACAGUGACCGUGAAGUUCUCGACACCCUUGGGUGGUGCAGAGCAAGGCGCACUCAGCAGGCCUAGGUGAAGAGAGAGCCCUCAGCUCCUAACUGUGGCUGGCAGGACCCCUCUCCCCAACUAGGGGGUUCAAGAGACCAUCCUGCAGAACUUACCCGGACUUUGCCGAUCUCGCCUUUGUGGAUGGAGAU